CUUAUGGCUUCAAGCUUUCGG
RNAcentral lists this microRNA (21 nucleotides) under Rattus norvegicus (Norway rat). RNAcentral describes it as "rno-miR-879-3p". Its record names the gene rno-miR-879-3p. Lineage: Eukaryota; Metazoa; Chordata; Mammalia; Rodentia; Muridae. The record is from miRBase by way of RNAcentral.